RNAcentral lists this ribosomal RNA (441 nucleotides) under uncultured bacterium. RNAcentral describes it as "partial 16S ribosomal RNA". It matches the Rfam family "Bacterial small subunit ribosomal RNA", at positions 339 to 797 of the family's 1533-position model. The record is from RNAcentral.
CUACGGGAGGCAGCAAUCAGGGAUCUUGCGCAAUGGGCGAAAGCCUGACGCAGCGACGCCGCGUGGGUGAGGAAGUCCCUCGGGAUGUAAAGCCCUUUUGUCGGGGACGAUGAUGACGGUACCCGACGAAUAAGCCCCGGCUAACUACGUGCCAGCAGCCGCGGUAAUACGUAGGGGGCGAGCGUUGUCCGGAGUUACUGGGCGUAAAGGGCGCGUAGGCGGAUGCUUAAGUUGUCAGUGAAAGCCCCCGGCUCAACCGGGGAGAGUCUGGCAAGACUGGGUGUCUGGAGGACAGUAGAGGAGAGUGGAAUUGCUGGUGGAGCGGUGGAAUGCGUAGAGAUCAGCAGGAACACCCGUGGCGAAGGCGGCUCUCUGGACUUGUCCUGACGCUGAGGCGCGAAAGCUGGGGGAGCGAACGGGAUUAGAUACCCCAGUAGUCCC